CUCCACCCUAUGUUAUUGAAACCUUUGUUGCUUUGGCGAGCCGCUUCGGCCACCGGCGUCUGCUGGUGUGCGCUCGCCAGAGGACCACAAACUCUUGUUUAUUAAUGUCGUCUGAGUACUAUAUAAUAGUUAAAACUUUCAACAACGGAUCUCUUGGUUCUGGCAUCGAUGAAGAACGCAGCGAAAUGCGAUAAGUAAUGUGAAUUGCAGAAUUCAGUGAAUCAUCGAAUCUUUGAACGCACAUUGCGCCCCGUGGUAUUCCGCGGGGCAUGCCUGUUCGAGCGUCAGUACAACACUCAAGCUCUGCUUGGUAUUGGACCGCAUCAGUUCUGAUCGGUCUUAAAAUCAGUGGCGGUGCCAUCGUGCUCUAAGCGUAGUAAUACUCCUCGCUACAGGGUCCUCGGUGCGUGCUUGCCAGCAACCCCCAACUUCUAAGUUUGACCUCGGAUCAGGUAGGGAUACCCGCUGAACUUAAGCAUAUC
RNAcentral lists this ribosomal RNA (482 nucleotides) under Chalara sp. 1 AF-2012. Its description in RNAcentral is "eukaryotic LSU rRNA". The stretch from base 134 to 287 matches the Rfam family "5.8S ribosomal RNA". The record is from RNAcentral. Lineage: Eukaryota; Fungi; Ascomycota; Leotiomycetes; Helotiales.